This 254-nucleotide ribosomal RNA is filed under the name uncultured bacterium. RNAcentral describes it as "partial 16S ribosomal RNA". It matches the Rfam family "Bacterial small subunit ribosomal RNA", at positions 524 to 776 of the family's 1533-position model. The record is from RNAcentral.
CACGUAGGGUGCGAGCGUUGUCCGGAAUUAUUGGGCGUAAAGAGCUCGUAGGCGGUGUGUCACGUCGGCCGUGAAAACCUGCAGCUUAACUGUGGGCGUGCGGUCGAUACGGGCAUCACUGGAGUUCGGCAGGGGAGACUGGAAUUCCUGGUGUAGCGGUGAAAUGCGCAGAUAUCAGGAGGAACACCGGUGGCGAAGGCGGGUCUCUGGGCCGAUACUGACGCUGAGGAGCGAAAGCGUGGGGAGCGAACAUG